UCUUCUGUCCGUAGACAACAGAACUCCAGGUC
Molecule: non-coding RNA, 32 nt
Filed under: Rattus norvegicus (Norway rat)
Lineage: Eukaryota; Metazoa; Chordata; Mammalia; Rodentia; Muridae
Source: RNAcentral